AUGUUUUUUUUGCAUGAAGGUCAUUGCUACAGAUGUCAAAUAAAUUUACCAUAUGUAUGUACUAUAGUCUGCUCUUGCAAUCAUCUGCCAGAGUUAGGAAACAUCUGCGCCCUCAACGCCAUGUGGAACAUGUUUAAUUCCUCUCUCUGUAUGAGGCAUCUCAAAGUAAGGACAUGUUGUCACUUCCAGGUUCCAGCCAAACAAGCAGUGAGAGUGUUGUCAUUAUCCUUUGGAACACUGCUUUAUAGUCCAACUAUCCUUAGAGAAGCGACCUCACAAGAUAAUACAUCAGCAGUCAGUGUAGUUGCUUCUGACGAUACAGAAAAAAAUUCAAACGAGAAACCCCGGUACAAAAUAAAAAGUCGAAUUUACUGA
RNAcentral lists this ribosomal RNA (375 nucleotides) under Triticum aestivum (bread wheat). Its description in RNAcentral is "partial small subunit ribosomal RNA". The record is from RNAcentral. Lineage: Eukaryota; Viridiplantae; Streptophyta; Magnoliopsida; Poales; Poaceae.